CUCUUGGCAUUCUGCGGGGUGCGGCGCGACUCCAGUCUUGACAUUCUCGGAUGAGGGUCCAGUCAACGGCGGGAGCGGGUGCAUGGUUAUUGGUUAGCCGCUGGUUUUUCAUCCGAGCAACGGUGCGAGAAAUGGGAGUUCCUGUUUCUGAGACGUCAUCGACUGAGUGCUCUUCUGAUG
Long non-coding RNA from Nilaparvata lugens (brown planthopper), 180 nucleotides. RefSeq lists it as uncharacterized. The transcript is spliced from 2 exons. NCBI's taxonomy places the organism in Eukaryota, Metazoa, Arthropoda, Insecta, Hemiptera, Delphacidae. The record is from RefSeq and is a predicted model, not a curated record.